CGGGGUGCAGCAGGCGCGAAACCUAUACAAUGCACGAAAGUGUGAUAGGGGGAUCCUAAGUGCUUAUGUUUUACAUAAGCUUUUGCCAAGCGUAAAUAACUUGGAGAAUAAGUGGUGGGCAAGACUGGUGCCAGCCGCCGCGGUAACACCAGCGCCACGAGUGGGAAUCGCAUAUUUGGCUUAAAGCGUCUGUAGCCGGCCUCGUAAAUUCUUUGUGAAAUCGAUAAGCUCAACUGAUUGGCCCGCAGAGAAGACAGUUUGGCUCGGAAUCGGGAGGGGUCAGGAGUAUUGGAUGGGGAGCGGUAAAAUGGGAUAAUCCCCAGAAGAUUACCUGUGGCGAAGGCGUCCGACCAGAACGAAUUUGACGGCGAGGGACGAAAGCUGGGGGAGCGAUCCGGAUUAGAUACCCGAGUAGUCCCACCCUGUAAACUCUGCGCGCAAGGUGCUGAGCAAUUUUCGGGAUUGCAACAGUAUGGAAGUGAAGGCGUUAAGCUCGCCGCCUGGGGAGUAUGGUCGCAAGACUGAAACUUAAAGGAAUCGGCGGGGGACCACAAGGGCGAUUCG
Molecule: ribosomal RNA, 564 nt
Filed under: uncultured archaeon
Lineage: Archaea
Description: partial 16S rRNA
Rfam family: Archaeal small subunit ribosomal RNA
Source: RNAcentral